Long non-coding RNA from Manis pentadactyla (Chinese pangolin), 9251 nucleotides. RefSeq lists it as uncharacterized. The transcript has 3 exons. NCBI's taxonomy places the organism in Eukaryota, Metazoa, Chordata, Mammalia, Pholidota, Manidae. The record is from RefSeq and is a predicted model, not a curated record.
UGGGUCCUCUCCCACAGCGGCUUUCUGGUGGGGGAGCAUGCUGUUUCUUGCACUCAGGUGUGAGCAGAAAGUCAGGUGCCCCGCCCCUCUGCAGACUUGCUUGGGGAGCCCUGGCUGCCUGUCCCUAAUCAGAAUAAGGGGGAGGGAGCCACAGGCUGGUACAGGUAAGGGAGCCCGCGCUCCUUCUGUUUCUUCCCAGCUUAAACUCAGCCCUUCUGCUUGCAGACUCCAGCAGGCCCUUGGGUGCUCCCAGCAGGAAUGAAUGCCUCUGUAGGGGGUUUGCUUGCACAGAGCCAAGGGUAGGGAUUUAUCUUUGCAUUCUGAAGUCAGUGUCUGUGGGCUCUGUCUCCCUGCCUGGCUUGAAAUUCCAUUGUAAAGGAGCCAUCUUGCCUUUUUCUGUUUUUGCUUUUAUUUCACUCUCUGAAACUGGGCUUCCAUUUAGUUGGGUGGCAGUCUGUGGCUUCUGUCCUUGUUAGAUACCCUGGAGGAGGGAGCAGUGGUCUGGGGACCAGUUCUCUGGGAGCACAAAGCUCAGGGAUGUGGGAAAGAGCCCUCUCCUUUACCUGAGCUUGUGUGCCUCCCUUGUGUUUGUGUGGUGCUAUCCUACAACCUGUGAGAGUGCCCAGUAGACGGAAGCAAAUCCGGGUGGUGAUUCCCUGCUAGUGAGAUAUGCAAAGUUAUCGUUAAUUCAUGUCAGAGAACUCUCACCGAGAUUUUAUUGUUGUAUUCUUUAGUAUUUAGUGCCAUGGGGAAAAAUUAAGAACUAUGUUGUCCUUUUGGGGAGAGCAAUCUUGGUAGUUCUUUUUGUAUGGUGAAAGUGGUGGGUUUUUAAAAAAAUAAUAAUGAAAUUUUAGACCUGGUAUCUUCUGAAGCAGAAUGAAUGUGUAUUAGCAAAAGUGAUAAAUAUUCGAACUCUGUGGGAGAGCAGGCAUUUGUGGGAGGUUUCAGGCAUUCUUGGAUAUAUAAAUGCAAAUCUGUGGAGGUUGCUUAGGAAAUGAGAACAGUAGAAUUAAGCUACAGAAAAUUUGCCUUAUUCCCAGAAUCUAGGGAUUGGACCAGAGCCCUGGUGUAGCUUGAACAGAAGUUACUUGUGCAUGUCGAUAAAUGAUUUUCACCAUUCUGAAGCUUAACAGAAAUAUUGUUCAAUACAAAAAAAAAAACCCUUGCCAUUGCCGUUUUUUUGUUUUCCCCAGCGGUAGCAAGUGGCAAGUGAGAGAAUGUUUUUAAUUGAAAUCACGGAACUUCAUCUCAGCCAACUUUCAAUUGCUUCCCUCGUGCAGCAUUUUGCCAGAGUUUCAAACAAGACUGUACAAGAAAGGAAAAGAAUGUGGUAUUCACAGAUACUACGCGGGUAUCUCUAGCCGAUUAAGUCACUGUGUUACUCUCACCGUCCUGCAGAGGUAAUAUUCAAGCCAUGGUGAUGAGAUAACACUGCCUAUCACUUGUCCCAAAGACAUGCAAAGAAGCAUAAUUUCCCAGAAGGAUGGAAAGCUCAUUAUAUUUGUGGUCCAGGUAAUUAUAAUCAUGGGAUGCAAAGAUAAUAUGAAAGCUGAUCUGAAAUUCUUUUGGAACUUUAAUUAUUCUCUUUGAUUUAAGCAUACAAGUGAUUAAUUACAAGAUAAGUAAAAAACAUUCCUUUCCCCCCUUUUCUUUUGUAAGCAAGAUGCGGAUUUCUGCGGAUUUAAGGCCAUUUUAGCAUUCUCACUUUGGACUUGACAAAAACUUCUAUGGUAUCUGGAAAAUUAAUGCCUUGGGGAGGGUUUGUUUUCAUUUGCAUUCCUUAAUCCAGUUUAACUUUAAUCCCUCUUUCCAAGUCUAAUUCAAAAUGUAAGCAAGUAAAAUGAAGGGUAUUAGAAAUUGUAUUAAACAUCUCUGUGGGGACUUUGGGGUAUGUAUGGAGAAUUAACAUUGAUGCCAAGAUCCUUGCUGUACAUUAAUUUUCCAGCAUGAAAGAAUGAGGACAGCUCACAAUUGUACCUUCUCUUUCCAGCUCCUUUCAUUUUAUUCCUCUGGUGGUGUUCUCUCUAUGCAGUUUUAACCCAAUCAGAUCAAAAGGAAUGGUCUGUUACCCAUGACUGAAUGAGAUCUGUCACAAUAUUUACCUUUGGGCCACUGUGUUUAGGGAGAAAAAAAAAUGACAGUUCGUUUAGAUGUGAUCUCUCUGGGGCUUCUUCAUAUCAGCCAGGCUGUUGGGUGGUGUUGAUCUGAUCCUCUUUGAGCAUCUAUUCUCCAGUGUCACAGGGACACAGUGGUAGUGAAUCUGUAUUCCUCUCCACGCUGGGGGAGCGCUAAGCAAGUGCUUCCAUUUGGAGAACAAACAGGUAUCUCUGGGCUUCUAGGCAGGUGGGGAAUGCUGAAUAAUUAAUUGGUCUCUAGGGAGAUGUUAAUUGCUAUAGUUGAAUAUUCUUUUGGACUUAAUGUCAAUCGUAGUUUGACUAUUGCAGAAUCCUUUCAGAGCAUAAAAGUGUUUAGGAGUGAGUGCAUUAAUGGUACAGAUAGGCAUUGUUUUUGAACAUUAAUAUGGAGGAUGACUUGGCAAAGUUUUGGAAGAGGCUUUCUCAUCUACAUGACUUUGAUUUGAGCCAUUAACUAUGCACUUGGCACUUCAAACUAUAAUUAAUUUAGGUUAAGUUGUUCCCUUUGAUAAAGAAAGCUGUAGGAUAGGUGGUCAUUAAUCAUAUCAAGAAGCUUUGUAGGGGUUUUGAAAGACAAAAUUGGCUUUCCUGUUUGAAGACAAAGGAAGUGUCUGCUGGGCCUUGCCUUUUGGAAUGAAUGAGAGUAAUUUUAGGAAUUCCAGCCUCUGCCCCUAAGGUGAUAGUUUGGUUCUGAAUCCUCAAGACGUCACUUACACAAAACCAGACCUGCAAGUGCCUUGUGUUUUUCGUACGUUGUGUUCUUUAAUGUCACCAUCAAGGCUUUGGGUGGAGAGAAAAGGGAUUGAAAAAGAUGUGCUGAAUUUUCAAGUAAGGCUUUCUGCCUAUUGCUCUUUCUGUGAACCCAUCCUAAGGAGCAAGUGCAGACAUUGCCCACAUUUAAGACGUAUUCGCUGAAGAGGUGCAGUCACUUUAAUGCCUGGCAUUUUACUCAACUAACUCAUUGGUGAAAUAAAGGAUUGAUGGAUUGAUGUUCAACUUAUAUAAGACCAUGUACAUAUUGCUAAGUUCCCCAUGAACAUCGUAGGUAUCUAAAAAAGAGACGUCUUGAUUUGUUUUAAUAAAUAACAUUAAGCGCCUCCAUUUCCGAUCCCUGUUUGGAAAUGUCACAAUGAUGGGUGUGUGUUAUUUUGACCCCAUGUGAAGAUUCCGUGGCAACAGUAAACAUUCACAUUAUAGAUUUUCAUAGGCAAUAAAUCCACAUGAUGCAAGCAGCCUUGGCCUGCAAUAAAGAUGUGUUGUGAAAUUUCCCAUGCCAGAAGAGACACUCAUAGCUUGGGAUUGGCACUUUCAAGCCUGUAGACAGUGAUACCUGGGCACUCCCAUCAGCUGGAGUUUGCGGCCCAUGGGUUUCCCUGUGUUGCCUGGCUCUGUUUAUUUAAGCUUCAUUGCAUGGCUUGUACUACUGUCCUAAGUGGUUGCUGUUUUUCCCAAGAACUCUCUUUGCAGUAUACUCUUGGUGUUUUAUUUCUCUUUUCUUACAUUAAUCCUCAAUUAAGAACAAGCCCUAACAUUCAACAUCAUUGUUAAGGGCUAAGAAUAAUUUCUGAGAGAAUUUCUAAUUGCUGCCUUUCCAAAAUCUGGUAAUUCGUAUUUGGAUACUCUUAGCACAAUUUGGGGGAGAGGGAUGAUUUACUUUUCUUUCUUUCUUUUUUUUUAAAAACGUGCAUGCGUCCCAGCUUUCACUGAAGACAGCACAGUCUCAAUGGCAUGGUUUACAAGUAUGGUGUAAUGGAAAUUAUACAGGAUUGGAGCCACACAGGCCUGUUUUAGCAUCUUAGCAUCAUCGUGUAUUAAUUAUGCGACUUUGGCAAGUCACACAGCCUCUCCGAAACUCAAUUUUCUCACUGUUAGUUAGGACUUAAAAUAUUAACUGUGAUUCAUUUAUAAUAUUCAUUAGGGUUUGUGGCAGAAAUUGCAGUGAUAGCUCCCAUAUCACAUACUGUUCUCCAAUUCUGAUUUGGAUGCCGCUACAUUGUGGAGGUAGGGGUUGGUGCUGUCUGUCCCCUCUUUGAAUCGGGGUGAGAGAAAGUGGUUGUAAUUAUGGUGAAAGUGGAGAUGUGAGUGAGGUUUCCAAGACAGAGCCAAAAGGAGUGAUAUAGCUUCCACCCGAGUGUCUUGGGACUUUCCAUUUUGGAAUGUAGCCAGCAAGCAAUGAGGGAGCUCAAGCAGGCACGUGGAGAGGCCCCUCUAGGUGUUUCCAGCGGACAGCCCAGCUGAGGCCCCGGUGAUGCGAGCCUCUCACUGAUGAGUCACCUUCCGUCUUCCCAGUGGAAGCUCUCCAGGACUCAAGAAACAGAGACGAGACCUUGCCUCUGUGCUCGGUACAAAAUCCUGACUCAGAGAUUGUAAAAGAUGAAGUUAUUGUUGUCUGAAGCAGUAAUGUUUUGGGUUGAUUUAUUAUGCAUCAAAAGACAACCAGAACAAGUUUAUGGUGAGAGUCAAAUGAAAGAGUGAUUCUUUCUGGGUUUGAAUAAUGUCUCUAGCACUUGAUAGCCAUGUGACCUUGGAUAUACUAUUUAACUGCUUUUGUGUGUGUGUUUUUAACGAUCAAUAGGGCCAACAGUACCUCCCUCUAGACUUAAUAGGAGAAUUCAUCAUUGAGUACGUGUGAGAUGCUCAAUAAAUGUUAGUUGUCAUUAUUUUCUAUUAAACUGUAUUGCUGGAGUUUGACAAUGUGUGGGGAGAUUUAUGUUAAUGGUGUUAUGAUUUUAAAAAAGAGUUAUGCAAAUUUUUAAGUGACUUUCCUAGGCAAGAAACCAGUGGGGCUUUUGGAUAUCAAAUUUUGAAUGUAAGUUUCAUGAAGUGAAAAAAUAUAAAAGAAAAUUAAAAAUAAAUGUUACUAAUUUCUGCCAAGCAUGUAUUUCAUAUAUUUUUCUACAGUCCAGGAACCCUUUGGCUUCAACUGAUAGCAGGAGACAUAAAUACUCCAGUAUAGGAUAUUGACAGAAGGGUUAAAGAAUAGUAAGUAGGAAGGAAAUCUUAAUUUAUUCAUAUUAUGUACCAGAACUGCACUAUAGGCUUUUACUAGUGUCUUUCUCUUAGAUACCAUGAGAUAGAUAGUAAGGAAAGGAUGGUAUGCCACUAAAUCUUUGCUGUCCGUGCUACUGAGUUUGUUAGUGUCCUUUUCUGUUCUGUUAAUGGGGCAAGAAGAAUUUGACAAUUGCAAUUUGGCCUUCAGGCUAAAAGCUACUGGUCUGAGCUCCCACAUCUGUAUUUGUUUCUGCCUCUGACCCAUGAGUCACUUUGUGACCUCUCUAAGCCUCGGUUUUUUCAGCUGUCAAGUGCAUCUACCAGUGGUUUCUGAUUCGUGGAGUUGAUAGGAGGAUUCCAUGAGAUAACACACUAUUUCCAAACUUGCCUAAUGAUAAGAAUUACCCUAAAGCAUUUGUUAAAAUAGUGGAUCCCAUCCCAGAGUAACAGAAUCAGAAUUCCCAGAGCUUCUGUGAUUUUUAAGUGCCCCAAGUAGGUCUUAUGAUCAGGCUUGUCUAGGAGACACUAAGAAGAAGCAUGUAAAGCCCAUUAGUUAAAACUUAAAAAAGGAAAAGAAAAAUCUUAGCUGCUGUAGCAAUUUUACUUACAGUAAUGUUUUAGAUAUGUUCUUUGGAGUUACCUGUUUUCUUCACAUUUACGUCUAUAGUUCUUGACAAUUUUUGAAAAGUAAACCACACAAUGUCUACAAAUAUUGAUAAAUGAAUUAAAUAAAAUCUGUUUCUGCUGUUACUUUACAUUCGUUAAAAAGUUAAAAAGUUAUCCAUACUGUUGGCUUUUUUUUUUCUUCUCUGGAGUUUCAGCAGCCAUACCCAAGUUAAUGGAUUUCUUCCCAACCACCCAAACCUUUGGGGACUUAGGAGGACCAUGGUUCGAAACCUUUUUUCUUUUCUUUUUUUUCCCCUGUAAUGUAAUUAAAGAAAAAUAGCUUUGCAAGUUAGAGUCACUGAAUCCAGAGGGAAUUUACCUACUGGCUACCCAUCUGGCUGUGACUAUAAGGCUUCAUGUUCUAUGUUCCGUGAUAAUUAGAUUGACAGUUACUAUGUUGGUGACUCUAAUGAAAGACUUUUCUAUGUAAUGAGUCUCUAUAAUUAGUUUUCUAUUUGAAGUACCUAUUUACAAUAAUGUGUGUGUGCAUCGCAUUGGCUGUCAUAACCCUGAUGGGGCUGCUUACUUGUCGCAGAUUUAAACUUGAGCUACAUGGGUUUAUGUAGAAGUCGUCCACCCUCAAAGGACUCUGUGCAUGAGAUUUUGCUAAGUACGCCCCUGAAUACUUUGAAGUAUAGUUGCUUUUGUCAUCCUUGGUUACAUUGUGUGUCAUGUUGUCUUCUGCUUCCUAAGGAGAAGUAACCCUGAUGUUAUAUAUAUAAAUUAUAGAGCAAUGAAUACUUUUGUCCCAUGUUCCAAAAUUUUAAUUUAUUGGUUCUUAAUGCUGUAUGGUCUAGGUUUGUCUUAUGUUCAUUUUACUUUAUCUUUAAUAAUUUAAAAAUUUGUGCUUUAAUGAUGCUAUUGAUUCUACUUACCUAAGGCUUAGUUCAAUGGCUGGCCGAUGAUGGAUACUGGGGCCUGUCACAUUGCCAGAUUUUCAAUAGGAGCUAGAUAAAUUUUUGUUAAUAUUGUAAUUAUUUGCCUUAUUUUUUAAAGAGCAUACCAAUACUUAAAAGUUAUAAAUGCAGUAUGAUAGGUUUCGUGUCUAAACAAAUAGGGCAAUGAAUUUCAUUUUAUUUUCUUUCCAAAUUUAUACUGUGGUGUUUCAGCUAUUUGUUCACAAAUAUAGUGGGAGGAGUUCGAUCCAUGUAGUUUAUUGGGAUAGCUCUAACAUGGAGGCCUGUGUCGCAGUUCCAGCUAUAUGAAUGGAACCUGGGCAGAGUCCUUAACCCUAGUGGCCCUCCGUGUGCACACCUAUAAAUGGUUGGGCUGUGAACCCGUGAUUCUUUCAACUCUUAGGUUUUUGGCAAUGUGGUUCAGCUUGUCCUUUAAAACUGCUUUUGGGUUGGAUAUAAGGUUAAGGUUGGAAUGUUCUUACAAGUCUUCUGGGAGAUUGAUUCUAAAAUAUUGGUCCUUGCAUCUGUGCUGGGUCUUGUUCUGAUGCAAAUUUGCUGAUUGAAUGUAUAGUGUGAUUCUGAUCCAUGUGUGUGUAUAUGUGUGGGUGUGUGAGCGUGUCAGGGCAUAUAGAGAGUUCUAAAUGUCAGGUGAAGGCUGGGCAGUGACUCAGGGUUGUCAACUUUAUUUCUAUUUACAGCAUGACAUGGGCAUUAAGAUUAUAAUGUUUUGAGGGCUAUAAAGCUUAUUUUCAUAUUUUCCUUUAUUUUAAGUUAUACUGCAGUGAACAUCCAAAGAGACAUGUGAACAUCCUCAUAUUUGCACCUUGUGAACAUAUGCCAAUAAUGGAUACUUUACUCAUGCUUUUGCUGCCAGCUCAGGUGACACCUCCUCCAGGAAGCCUUACCUGACAACCUGCCAAAUCUACCCACAUCCCCUUUCCCUCAGGUUAGGUGCUUUUUUUUGGAGCUUGCAUUAUGUACCCCACAUAUCUACUUCCUCUGCCACCCGCCCCAGUCAAGACUGUGAGUUCUUGAGCAUAGAUAAUGGCUUCCUUCAUAUUUAUAUCCCCACAUGAUACAUCAUAGAUGCUCAGUACAUGUUAAUUUCUUGAAUGAAUAGAUGGUUGGAUUGAUGGAAGUUUACUAAAACCGAUUCUCUGUGCCUAACUUUGCCUCCUAUCCCUUCUCUUACAUAUUACAAAGUCUAUUCAGAAUAUGAACAUUUCAUUUUAAGGUUAAUCUUUCUCUGAAUUUCUUUUCUUCAACUUGUUGCUUGAAAUUCAGGGAGAUAUUUCUAAUACCCUUUCAUUAAAUUAUUGAGAAAUGUAAAAUGUGAUGGUUUCAAUUGUUCGAAAUUUUAUUGUUUUAUUGACAUUGUAAGAAAAGGGUCUUUAAAGCCAAUGUGACUUUAUUAAGCAUCUCCACAUUUUUGUUCAUUUUUUCUAGCAAAGUUUUAUUGAAAGAAGUUAAUCCACCCGUCUUGUAGUUUCGUUUUGAAUGAUGGUUCAGAAGUUGCUGUAGUCAUUUAAAAAAAAAAAAUAAAGCCUAUUUUUUUUCUUAUUACUGAAGUAAUAUAGGUUUAUUGACAAAACCACAACUAUCUCAUGUUCUACCAUUCAGUAAAAAUCCAUUUGAACCCCUUGGUACAGCAUUCAAGAAAGUAUGUUCUUUGGUUAUUAAUCCUCAAAAGAAUUCCAUUAGUAAACAGUUUUUGAAAAAGCUGUGUAUGUAUGAGAAAGCCUAAAUAUACAUUAGCUAAUCUUGGACCAGGGAACUACCAGCCCCGUCUCUGUUCCCCUUUUUAGUCUUUGUUAAAGUGCUUGGGGAACUAGUGACCCCUGGAGUUGACUGUGGGAAAUGCUGGCAUAGUAAUACAUCUUUCCCAUCUUUUUUAGUUAUAUCUAAUGAACACCCGUAAACAUACUUUUGUUUAGUUUUGAAUAAAAAUGGGUUCAUUCCUUAGGUACUGUGAUACAGUUUGUUUUUUUAUUUCAUAAAUCAUGAUCUGUAACAAAGUUUUCAAAAGUUAUAUAGGAUUCCAUUCUAUGGAUUAUUUCAUAAUUUAUUUAACCAAUCCCAUUAUUGAACAUCUAGGUUUUGAAAAAUUUCUGCCAAUAGCUUUGUAGUACGAAUCUUAAUUAUUUUCUUACUUCCAACAACUUUCAUUGUCCCCUUCUUUCAAAGGUGUGCUAGAGAGGGUAGGAUGUUGAUGCUCCAUUACUAAAGAUGAACACUUUUCAAUCUCAUAUUUUAAAUCCUUUCUCAGUGAUAACUCUUAUUGAUAUUUGGGUGGCCCACCUGCUGGGUUAUUCAAAACAACAUUUAAGUCCCAGUCUGACUUUUCUUGGCAUCUGGCAUUGUAUUUAUCCAUUUCUGAUCAUCUUUUCAUAUAUACUUAAGAACUGUAAGUUCAUUUUUAAUACCAACUUAAGCAGGAUGAAAUGAGAAAGAUGGUACUCCAGUUAUUGUUAUCAGUAACUUAAGUAAUCUGUACCUUUGUUUCCCUCUGAUUGCAUGGGAAAUAAAAUGUUGCUUAUUGUGUGGAUUUUGAGGCAUGCAUUAA